Molecule: ribosomal RNA, 524 nt
Filed under: uncultured bacterium
Lineage: Bacteria
Description: bacterial SSU rRNA
Rfam family: Bacterial small subunit ribosomal RNA
Source: RNAcentral
ACAAUGGGGGGAACCCUGAUCCAGCCAUGCCGCGUGUGUGAAGAAGGCCUUUUGGUUGUAAAGCACUUUAAGCGAGGAGGAGGCUACUCUGGUUAAUACCUAGGGAUAGUGGACGUUACUCGCAGAAUAAGCACCGGCUAACUCUGUGCCAGCAGCCGCGGUAAUACAGAGGGUGCGAGCGUUAAUCGGAUUUACUGGGCGUAAAGCGUGCGUAGGCGGCUUUUUAAGUCGGAUGUGAAAUCCCUGAGCUUAACUUAGGAAUUGCAUUCGAUACUGGGAAGCUAGAGUAUGGGAGAGGAUGGUAGAAUUCCAGGUGUAGCGGUGAAAUGCGUAGAGAUCUGGAGGAAUACCGAUGGCGAAGGCAGCCAUCUGGCCUAAUACUGACGCUGAGGUACGAAAGCAUGGGGAGCAAACAGGAUUAGAUACCCUGGUAGUCCAUGCCGUAAACGAUGUCUACUAGCCGUUGGGGCCUUUGAGGCUUUAGUGGCGCAGCUAACGCGAUAAGUAGACCGCCUGGGGAGUAC